Long non-coding RNA from Manacus vitellinus (golden-collared manakin), 644 nucleotides. RefSeq lists it as uncharacterized. The transcript has 6 exons. The record is from RefSeq and is a predicted model, not a curated record. Lineage: Eukaryota; Metazoa; Chordata; Aves; Passeriformes; Pipridae.
AGGAGGAUGCUGGAGCACAACAAACCAAAACCCACCCCGGAGAGUUGCCUUGAAGAGAAACACCAGGCACAUUGGAUUGAGGCAGGAGGGGAAGGGGAAGGUGGGAGCACAGGGAAUUCCUGGCCAGGAGCAGGGAGAUGCUGGCUCCCAUUCCCAGCCUGGAAUCACUCCCAGCUCUGGCUCCGUGGCACCCACCUGGGAGCGAUCAGGGAGCUGCUGGAAGGAGGCUCUGGAUGUGCUCCCUCCAUGGCACUGCUGGGUGCUGGGGGUGUCCCCCCCCUCCCUGCUGAACUGUCACAGCCAGGCUGGAAUCAGAAGGGUUUGGGGUUGUGCCAGCCCGUGCAAGGAGCUGCCCUGAAUCAACUCCCUGGGCAGACGGACUCGCGUGGGGCUCAUAAAACCCCGAGCACCUUCUUGGCAGAGUCACAGUAAAUAAGAGCCUGGGAGGGAAAACACCAACUCCAUCUUGCUGGGAAAUGGGGCUUCAGCUUCAUCCAGUUUUUGGCCUCCCAAAUCCAGCAGAGCUCUCCAGGAGCAGGACAUCCAUGGACAGCACCACAGCACAGGGGGUCAGUGCCCAAAUCUGCUUUCUCCUGGCAAGCUGAGUGUGCAGCCAGACACCUGGAAUCUCCAGGGAGCAGCUC